This 274-nucleotide ribosomal RNA is filed under the name uncultured bacterium. RNAcentral's name for it is "partial 16S ribosomal RNA". It matches the Rfam family "Bacterial small subunit ribosomal RNA", at positions 523 to 796 of the family's 1533-position model. The record is from RNAcentral.
AUACGGAGGGUGCGAGCGUUGUUCGGAAUUAUUGGGCGUAAAGAGCAUGUAGGCGGUCUGUUAAGUCUAGUGUGAAAGCCCGGGGCUCAACCCCGGAAGUGCAUUGGAUACUGGCAGACUUGAGUAUGGGAGAGGAAAGCGGAAUUCCGAGUGUAGGAGUGAAAUCCGUAGAUAUUCGGAGGAACACCAGUGGCGAAGGCGGCUUUCUGGACCAAUACUGACGCUGAGAUGCGAAAGCGUGGGGAGCAAACAGGAUUAGAAACCCCGGUAGUCC